CAUGGAGUCCUGCACAUCUCCCCGGGGUUGGUGAGCUGCUAUGUGCCUAUUCUCCAAUGAUGCAUAGAGAGGAGGGAAACAAUGGGCAGGCAUCGGACAUGAGGUCUGACUGCCAGGAAACACAAAGCAGACAGGACAAAAGACACAGCAGUGACAGCACCCACCCACAGCAUCCUAAAACUGAUGCCUCUUACUCCUGCUCACCCCACCUACUGUGUUUUGAAUCCAAAAUGUCCCCAAGUCCAUGAUCUCAAUGUUUGACCUCAGUGGGUGACACUAUUUUGAACCCUUAGGAAAUGAGGCCUAGCUGGCUGAGGUAGAGCAAUAGGGUAGGCCUUUGAUGGUUCUAGCUCAGCCUCUGAGGCCAGCAUUCUCUGCUUCAAACUACUGCCACCACAAAUGGAGUCUUGCCACCAUGCCUUCACAGGUGAGACUGAAACCGGAGUGAACCGGAAUUAACUGGAAUGAACCAGAAUGAACUGGAAUGAACCGGAAUGAACAGGAACGAAGACGCUAACAGUGACAUAAUUAUGAUGAGCACACCUCUUUUUGUGGUGACAUCAGGUCACAAAGAAAAAUGAAAAGAUGCCAAGGUGUUUGUGGAGGUGAGAUGUGGCAAAGGGCCACCAAUUGUGUGUGCACCCUCCUGCGUGAGGAUUAAAGUCACCCAAAUGCCAUGGAGAGGAGAUCCCAAAUAUUCAUGUGUUAUUAAAAUGUUGAGCAUUAACUUGUAAGUGCGAACUUCUGCAUCUUUCUAUAUAUACUAAAACAUAUACAUUUUAAAACAUAUACAUAUACAUAUAUGUAUACCCUAAGACAGAGAAAUUAACAGAUAACAUCCCAAAGCUAACUUUAGCAUGUUGAUUUGGUAUAAAAUGACCCAAAGAGACAUUUUAUGGGCUUAACAGAAUAAAGUUUGUCUUCCUUGG
Molecule: long non-coding RNA, 929 nt
Organism: Rattus norvegicus (Norway rat)
Lineage: Eukaryota; Metazoa; Chordata; Mammalia; Rodentia; Muridae
Source: Ensembl